UUGUUAUGCGAUUUAAAUUUUAAUAAUGUUCUGUUAUUAAAUUCUACUUGAAACAAUUACUAAUAAAUAUUUCGUCUUUCACUGACGUCAUCACAAACCUAUAGAUUAGCAGACCUGUACGUUUUGUACCUUGUGUACUCCUGGCGGUAAACCCAUGAACCGUAUUGUGACAUGGUCGGCGUAGAACGGAAAAUAAGAUAUCACUUUUGGUCGGAGCCUUCAACCGAAUAAGUACCUAGUGGCAGAUAACCUAUCCACGUAAAAGUGGCGAAUAUUUCAUUCUUGUUUCAAGUCAUAGUAUUAUUUUGAAAAUAAAUUAUCCAAGUUUAUUACGUAUGUGUUUAGUGGGCUGAAGAAACGAGGUUGGAGGUUCGCAGCAGUGAUUUGUGGUUUAUCUGCCACUGGGGAAAAUCUUUUAACUACUCCUACCACCUGAGAAGGACCGCUUUUCGACCAAGUCACCUAGGGGACAAGUACUAGAGGAACAUGUAAUUUUUGUUCUUCAUUAUCCUGCAUUUUGGAGAAUUGCCGUGUUACGGUUGACUGCGUAGCACCAUUCUGUGCUUAAGACUUUACUGAGAAGUAGUACGGAAAACUUGUGGGGACAAUAUCAGGUCAAUUGGGUUUGUUUCGGGAACUUUUUAUAUUUAACAGUGCAAUAGUUAUCUACCUAUACCAGUACACUUAUACACUUAUUUUUUUUAUAAUAUCCAGAACAUUUAAGUAAUUAACAUACACAUAGUUCAAUAGCGCUCCCACACCUGUAUGUCUCUUUGUAAAAGAGGAUAAUUUGGGCCCAAAUAACCUUUUCCCAUACAGUAGUUCCUUACAUUUAUUUUUUAUUAAUAUUAUUAGACUUGUUUCCCAUAUUUUGCAUAUAACUAUAUAUAUAUUUUAAUAUUAUUAGCUUGUUUCUUGUAAUUUAAAUUCCCAAUCUGUUUGCUUAACUUAAAUUCAUUUGUUAUUAAAUUAAAUUCAAUCCCUAAUCCCUAUCCCUUCAGGAUAGCUAUUAGUUUUACUUGGUCAUUAUUAAAAACCACGAGUCAGAAAAAGGAUCUUUAUCAUCCAGGACUGCGUUGGUUCAGUUAGGUGUUGCCUAUUCAACUCAUUGAGUUAUAUAUAUUUGUAUGGUUCAUCCUAGGUAGGUAUUUUAGUAUUGAUUUCUUGUAGUAUUUAACGUUGCUGUACGUAUUACAAUCGUACAAUUAUUUGGUGAAGGUUGUUGUUUAACCUUAGUGUAAGUUGGGGGUACGCUCCAUAUAAGAGCUACCCCAGUACUAAUGUAAUUAUAGUUGUAUACUCAUAUUCAGAUAAGUAGUUAAGUCAAAUUGUCAUUUUAGAGUUACAUAGGUUGUAUUUUUUCUAACUCAGAGGUUGUCAAUAAUCUAGGUAGUUAUAUUUUAAUAAAUAUUUAUUUGUUUGUA
RNAcentral lists this long non-coding RNA (1424 nucleotides) under Diabrotica virgifera virgifera (western corn rootworm). RNAcentral's name for it is "uncharacterized LOC126883911". Lineage: Eukaryota; Metazoa; Arthropoda; Insecta; Coleoptera; Chrysomelidae. The record is from RNAcentral.